Molecule: RNA transcript, 963 nt
Organism: Aethalodelphis obliquidens (Pacific white-sided dolphin)
Lineage: Eukaryota; Metazoa; Chordata; Mammalia; Artiodactyla; Delphinidae
Gene name: 40S ribosomal protein SA-like
Exons: 1
Source: RefSeq, a predicted model, not a curated record
CGCUACCCAGACAGGGGUCCAUACGGCGUUGCUCUGGAUUCCCAUCGUAACUUAAAGGGAAAUUUUCACAAUGUCCGGAGCCCUUGAUGUCCAGCAAAUGAAGGAGGAGGAUAUCCUCAAAUUCCUUGCAUCAGGAACCCACUUAGGUGGCACCAGCCUUGACUUCCAAAUGGAACAGUACAUCUACAAAGGAAAAGUGAGUGGCAUCUACAUCAUGAAUCUGAAGAGAACCUGGGAGAAGCUUCUGUUGGCAGCUCGUGCCAUUGUUGCCAUUGAAAACCCAGCUGAUGUCAGUGUCAUAUCCUCCAGGAAUACUGGCCAGCGAGCUGGGCUGAAUUUUGCUGCUGUCACUGGAGCCACUCCUAUAUCUGGCCGCUUCACUCCUGGAACCUUCACUAACCAGAUCCAGGCAGCCUUCUGGGAGCCAAGACUUCCGGUGGUUACUGAUCCCAGGGCUGACCACCUGCCUCUCACAGAGGCCUCUUACAUGAACCUGCCUGCCACUGGUCUGUGUAACAGAUUCUCCUCUGCACUGUGUGGACAUUGUCAUCCCGUGCAAUAAGGGAGCUCACUCAGUGGGUCUGAUGUGGUGGAUACUCACCCGGGGAAGUUCUGCACAUGCGUGACACCAUCUACUGUGAAUACCCAUGGGAGGUCAUGCCUGAUCUCUACUUCUACAGAGAUCCUUAAGAGAUUGAAAAGGAAUAGCAGGCAGCAGCUGAGAAGGCUGUGACCAAGGAGGAAUUUCAGGGUGAAUGGACCGCCCCACCUCCUGAGUUCAUUGCUACUCAAUCUGAGGUGGCAGACUGGUCCGAAGGUGUGCAAGUGCCCUCUGUGCCUAUUCAGCAGUCCCCCACUGAAGGCUGGUCUGCAGCUCCCACUGCUCAGGCCACUGAAUGGGCAGAACAACCACUGAGUGGUCUACAGCUGUUCUUCUACAGACUCUUAAAGUGGAAAUAGGUU